Long non-coding RNA from Homo sapiens (human), 1027 nucleotides. RefSeq lists it as uncharacterized. The transcript has 3 exons. NCBI's taxonomy places the organism in Eukaryota, Metazoa, Chordata, Mammalia, Primates, Hominidae. The record is from RefSeq and is a predicted model, not a curated record.
AUACAUCUAAUGAAGGUCUAAUGUCCUGAAUCUAUAAAAAAACUUAAGCAAUUCAACAAGCAAAACACAACCCCAUUAAAAGCAAGGCGCAUCUUACAUGGCAGCAGGAGAGAAAAGAGGGAGGAGGGACCUACCAAACACUUUUCUCUUGUUCUGGAAGAACACUUCUUGUUUGUUUUCACUUGUUUUGGAAGAAGACGGCUGCCAUGUCAUGAGGACACUCAAGAAACCCUGUGAAGAGGUUUCUGUGUUGAGAAACUGAGGCCUCCAACCAGCAGCCAUGUGAGCAAGCCAUCUUUUAAUCCAAUCCUCUAGCCCAAAUUAAGUUCCCAGAUGGGUGCAGUCAUAGCCAACAGCUUGAAUCCAACACCAGGAGAGAAACAAAGCAAUCUGAAAGGUCAUUUAAAGGUGAUACGGCAUCAAGAACUGCAUCUCUGAGUCACCACUUAGAGGAAACACACCCUGCAAUGUCACCCAAGCAUCUGCCUUCCCAGUAAUAUCUGCACUGGAUUAAUCUGUGGGCAAGAAGGGAACUUUUAUUCUGUAAAGCUCCUGAGAUUUUGAUGUUAUUUGUUACAGCUGUUAGCAUCAGUUAUUUCAUUCAGAGAUGGAACAUGAAAAUAAAUAAGGCCCUACACUUGAGGAACUCAAAGUGUAGUUAGGUAAUUGGGUUUAAAGAAAAAAAAUAUGUUUUCAGGUUUCCUGUUUCUAAACUCUAAUUUACCAUUUUAGUAACCUGAGUAAUUCUCAAAAUAGAAAAAAACCACAAUCAAUGAUUUUUGUAUAUUUGUUUUAUGGCAAAUGUGGUCCUACAUAUCAAUCAGAACUACACAUGUAUCCCAAAAAUUGAUACAAGUAGUCAUUAAGCUUUAUUAAAAUUUAUCAGUAGAAAUAUUUGUUUUUAUUUGGUAAAUGUGACUUGAUUUCACCAUAAAAAAUCAAAUAGUCUUUUCAUGUUUAUUAAUAUUCAUAUAAAUGCCUAUCUGUGUAAAUGUGCUCUUGCCUUGCUAUAAAAAAAAUACAUGAG